GCAGAGGCCGACACCACGGGGCGGCUGGUAUGUGUCCACCGGCCCCUAGGCGCCUCGAGCCCCGCCCCUGGGAGACGCAGGCUCCUCCCCGCGGAGCGAGAGCCCGCGGAGCUGCUCCGAGACCCGCGGGAGGGCACCUCCGGUCACCCGAGCCGCAAAUCCCCGCCGUCCGAAGGGGGUGUCGCCCCGGGCUGUCGGCCCAGCGUGGCUUAGGCCAGACCCCGAUCCAUCGACACCCCAAGGAAAUGCUGUGCACAAAAUUCCAAGAGGGCCUUUUCGAAUAGACGCAUGAACGGUGUUUGUGUCUGGAUCGUCCAGCCUCCCGGGAUCGAUUGGGAAUCUAGCUUCUGCUUGCCUUUCCAGCGCGACGCACAGUAGGAGCCUAAUAAAUGUUUGCUGAAUGAAUGCUGAAUAUCGAACUCAGUUCCGAGGCAGCAGGAAGAGAUGCGGCCCCUGGAUGUCGCCGAGCUGUCAGAACCGGAGGAAGUGGAGGUGCUGGAGCUGGAGGGGGGUUUUGAGCAGUUUCUGCUCCCGGUCAUCCAUGAGAUGCCAGAGGACAUCGCGUCGCUGACAAGCACUGGCGGGCGUACCUGUGGAAGCGGAGCACGCUGUGGGAGAUGGACAAUAUGCUCUUCCAGAUCAAAACCCAGGUGGAGGCUUCGGAGGAGCAUCCUCAACCGCCUCCACAACCCGGGCGACGCAGUGGAGGGCAGGGUGACCAAGAGGUGCCAGAAGGCCGAGGAGAAGGCCAAGGAAAUGGUGAAGAUGGCAGAGAUGCUGGUGGAGCUGGCCCAGAGGAUAGAGACGAACGAGUCGAGAGCACGGUCGGUGGUUUACAGCCAAUGGAUUCUGGUAAACUGGUGGAGAUUGGCUGACACCCAGAAGAAGCUGAAACCAGAGAGCCUUUGGUUUUCUCUAUUUUACUCUGUCCACGCUCUGUCCUCACUCACACUCAGUUCUCUGCUAUGGUCUGUGGUUGAUGAACUCAAUAUGAGUUUUGAUUGUUUGUGUUUUUGUCUGGGGAAGUAAGUUUAUUUGGAAAAUGCUCUCUCAUACAGGAAUGAGGGCCUAGACCACGCUCUUGCAGCAGUCACAUUUGUUCCUGGGCUUUGGUUGUUAUUUCUAAAUGUUUGAG
Molecule: long non-coding RNA, 1135 nt
Filed under: Homo sapiens (human)
Lineage: Eukaryota; Metazoa; Chordata; Mammalia; Primates; Hominidae
Description: non-protein coding lnc-ATP2B3-1:8
Source: RNAcentral